RNAcentral lists this small RNA (77 nucleotides) under Escherichia coli. Its description in RNAcentral is "isrK Hfq binding RNA". It matches the Rfam family "isrK Hfq binding RNA". The record is from RNAcentral. RNAcentral also lists the same sequence under 1 other name. Lineage: Bacteria; Pseudomonadati; Pseudomonadota; Gammaproteobacteria; Enterobacterales; Enterobacteriaceae.
GCACUGGCAAAAUCCAGUGCCGGGAUUGGCGUCCCGGAUUACUACAGAGGCACAUAUGCCGCAUAAGCGGUUUUUUU